Molecule: ribosomal RNA, 432 nt
Filed under: uncultured bacterium
Lineage: Bacteria
Description: bacterial SSU rRNA
Rfam family: Bacterial small subunit ribosomal RNA
Source: RNAcentral
AACGAACGCUGGCGGCAGGCCUAACACAUGCAAGUCGAGCGAGGUAGCAAUACCUAGCGGCGGACGGGUUAGUAACGCGUGGGAACGUGCCCAAAGGUACGGAAUAGCCUCGGGAAACUGAGAGUAAUACCGUAUGUGCCCUUCGGGGGAAAGAUUUAUCGCCUUUGGAUCGGCCCGCGUUGGAUUAGGUAGUUGGUGGGGUAAUGGCCUACCAAGCCGACGAUCCAUAGCUGGUUUGAGAGGAUGAUCAGCAACACUGGGACUGAGACACGGCCCAGACUCCUACGGGAGGCAGCAGUGGGGAAUCUUAGACAAUGGGGGAAACCCUGAUCUAGCCAUGCCGCGUGAGCGAUGAAGGCCUUAGGGUUGUAAAGCUCUUUCAGCUGGGAAGAUAAUGACGGUACCAGCAGAAGAAGCCCGGCUAACUCCGUG